RNAcentral lists this ribosomal RNA (786 nucleotides) under Triticum aestivum (bread wheat). RNAcentral describes it as "partial small subunit ribosomal RNA". Lineage: Eukaryota; Viridiplantae; Streptophyta; Magnoliopsida; Poales; Poaceae. The record is from RNAcentral.
AUGAUUUCCUCUAGUGUGUUGCAUCUUCGCUCCACUAGUUUGCACGACUUGAUUUCUAUGCUUUCUCAUGUUGCAUCCACUUCUUGGAUUACUUGCUCCUAUCACAUGUUUGGUUGCAACAAUGUCUUUCCUUCACAUAUGCCAUGUCCCAUUGAUUGCUACAUGCUUGCCUUGAUUGCCUCACACAUGAUGAACAAUUUCUCUUUCUAUUGUGUUGAGUGCCACUCGAUUUUCACUACACCCUAUGCACAUUAUGCUUGGAUUGUCUUGCACUUGCAUGUGUUUAGUCAUAUCAUCUUCUUGGGUGUUGUGAAUGAUUCUUAUGCUUACCCUAGACCAUUUGUUGAGUGCUUUAUGCAUGUUUACUAUGAUCUUGAGGUAGAUGCUUAUUCUCUUGACACACAUAUUUGCAUCGCUACCUCCCAUUUACAUGCUUGUUUCCAUGAUGUCCUUGAUUUUUCUCAAUUUACGUACUUACAUGCCAUGCCACACUCCCUUGUCACACCAUAUGCUAUGCUUGAUGACAACACUUGUUGGGUGAAUCACCUCUUGAAUGCCUGGUUUUGCUUUAAUGCCAACCACAUUUGUUUUUCCAAUUGCUUGUUAUAUUUGCUCCUUUUGAAGGAACUACAAGAUGGUGCGACAUUGGAGAGUGACCAUUUCGAGCUUCAACAUGAUACGUGCUUGGUGGUUGUCCACUUCUACACGGCAAUGCCUUCUCUUCCCCAUGGUGAUGAAGAUCACGAUCCGUGGACGGAUCUCUCCCAAGGGAGGGGGGGGAGAUGA